GCUCUAUUCCAGAAGCAGUGUGGAGCACAAAGAAUCCCUAAUCCCUGACAUUAAGAAAGAAGAAAAAUAUUCCUAGGACGAUCCUGGAGAGCAAAGGUCAUUAGCAGUCACUUGACUUUCCUUGGAUUUCUCAACUGCAGUAGUCACACGGUCUGCUGAAAAUGAAUUCUCUUUAUUUUCAUCUGAUUUCAAGGAAUUAUGGUUUUCAGUGAUUUCUUCAUUUGGAUCUAUUUUGAGACAGAGUAAUAGCAUUAAAACCCCCUUCUGAAUUAAUAAGGCAUUUGUUGCUGAAACGCAAAGUGUGACAAGCCAAUGGAGGCCAAGAUUUGAUUUUGAUAGCUCUUCCUACAAUUAUCCUUUGAAGGAAAGCAUAAAGAAGGCAGAGAAAGAAGAGACACAGACAUGCAGAGAAAACACAGGGAAGAAGGCCACAUGGGAUGAAGGCAGAGAUGGGAAUGAUGCAGCUACAAGCCAAGGAAUGCCAUGGACUGCCAGCAACCACUAGAAAGAAGC
RNAcentral lists this non-coding RNA (513 nucleotides) under Pongo abelii (Sumatran orangutan). The record is from RNAcentral. Lineage: Eukaryota; Metazoa; Chordata; Mammalia; Primates; Hominidae.